Molecule: unclassified non-coding RNA, 214 nt
Filed under: uncultured Gammaproteobacteria bacterium
Lineage: Bacteria; Pseudomonadati; Pseudomonadota; Gammaproteobacteria
Description: contains 16S-23S intergenic spacer region
Rfam family: Bacterial small subunit ribosomal RNA
Source: RNAcentral
CUUGACAUGUACGGAAGCCUCCAGAGAUGGAGGUGUGCCCGAAAGGGAGCCGUAACACAGGUGCUGCAUGGCUGUCGUCAGCUCGUGUCGUGAGAUGUUGGGUUAAGUCCCGCAACGAGCGCAACCCUUGUCAUUAGUUGCUACGAAAGGGCACUCUAAUGAGACUGCCGGUGACAAACCGGUGGAAGGUGGGGAUGACGUUGUACACCUGAAC